UACGUAGGGGGCAAGCGUUGUCCGGAAUCAUUGGGCGUAAAGCGCGUGUAGGCGGCUCGGUAAGUCUGCUGUGAAAGUCCAGGGCUCAACCCUGGGAUGCCGGUGGAUACUGUCGAGCUCGAGUCCGGAAGAGGCGAGUGGAAUUCCUGGUGUAGCGGUGAAAUGCGCAGAUAUCAGGAGGAACACCUGCGGCGAAGGCGGGUUGCUGGGCCGACACUGACGCUGAGGCGCGAAAGCUAGGGGAGCGAACGGG
This 253-nucleotide ribosomal RNA is filed under the name uncultured bacterium. Its description in RNAcentral is "partial 16S ribosomal RNA". It matches the Rfam family "Bacterial small subunit ribosomal RNA", at positions 524 to 776 of the family's 1533-position model. The record is from RNAcentral.